RNAcentral lists this ribosomal RNA (535 nucleotides) under Alternaria alternata. RNAcentral's name for it is "eukaryotic LSU rRNA". The stretch from base 157 to 310 matches the Rfam family "5.8S ribosomal RNA". Lineage: Eukaryota; Fungi; Ascomycota; Dothideomycetes; Pleosporales; Pleosporaceae. The record is from RNAcentral.
GAAGGCGGGCUGGAACCUCUCGGGGUUACAGCCUUGCUGAAUUAUUCACCCUUGUCUUUUGCGUACUUCUUGUUUCCUUGGUGGGUUCGCCCACCACUAGGACAAACAUAAACCUUUUGUAAUUGCAAUCAGCGUCAGUAACAAAUUAAUAAUUACAACUUUCAACAACGGAUCUCUUGGUUCUGGCAUCGAUGAAGAACGCAGCGAAAUGCGAUAAGUAGUGUGAAUUGCAGAAUUCAGUGAAUCAUCGAAUCUUUGAACGCACAUUGCGCCCUUUGGUAUUCCAAAGGGCAUGCCUGUUCGAGCGUCAUUUGUACCCUCAAGCUUUGCUUGGUGUUGGGCGUCUUGUCUCUAGCUUUGCUGGAGACUCGCCUUAAAGUAAUUGGCAGCCGGCCUACUGGUUUCGGAGCGCAGCACAAGUCGCACUCUCUAUCAGCAAAGGUCUAGCAUCCAUUAAGCCUUUUUUUCAACUUUUGACCUCGGAUCAGGUAGGGAUACCCGCUGAACUUAAGCAUAUCAAUAAGCGGAGGAAAUA